GGCCGCCUGGCGAAAUGGCAUCGCGUCUGACUACGACCAGCUGGCAUCCGCAAAUUGUAAUCAGGAGAUUGCAGGUUCGACCCCUGCGGUGGUCA
Non-coding RNA from Mycena haematopus, 95 nucleotides. Lineage: Eukaryota; Fungi; Basidiomycota; Agaricomycetes; Agaricales; Mycenaceae. The record is from the annotation of a GenBank genome assembly.